This 253-nucleotide ribosomal RNA is filed under the name uncultured bacterium. RNAcentral's name for it is "partial 16S ribosomal RNA". It matches the Rfam family "Bacterial small subunit ribosomal RNA", at positions 524 to 776 of the family's 1533-position model. The record is from RNAcentral.
UACAGAGGUCUCAAGCGUUGUUCGGAUUUAUUGGGCGUAAAGGGUGUGUAGGUGGCGCGCUAAGUCGGGUGUGAAAUUUCGGAGCUUAACUCCGAAACUGCAUUCGAUACUGGCGUGCUUGAGGACUGGAGAGGAGACUGGAAUUCAUGGUGUAGCAGUGAAAUGCGUAGAGAUCAUGAGGAAGACCAGUGGCGAAGGCGGGUCUCUGGACAGUUCCUGACGCUGAGACACGAAGGCCAGGGGAGCAAACGGG